AGUGAACGCUGGCGGUAGGCCUAACACAUGCAAGUCGAACGGCAGCACAGUAAGAGCUUGCUCUUACGGGUGGCGAGUGGCGGACGGGUGAGGAAUACAUCGGAAUCUACUUUUUCGUGGGGGAUAACGUAGGGAAACUUACGCUAAUACCGCAUACGACCUACGGGUGAAAGCAGGGGAUCCUCGGACCUUGCGCGAUUGAAUGAGCCGAUGUCGGAUUAGCUAGUUGGCGGGGUAAAGGCCCACAAAGGCGACGAUCCGUAGCUGGUCUGAGAGGAUGAUCAGCCACACUGGAACUGAGACACGGUCCAGACUCCUACGGGAGGCAGCAGUGGGGAAUAUUGGACAAUGGGCGCAAGCCUGAUCCAGCCAUACCGCGUGGGUGAAGAAGGCCUUCGGGUUGUAAAGCCCUUUUGUUGGGAAAGAAAAGCAGCAGGUUAAUACCCCGCUGUUCUGACGGUACCCAAAGAAUAAGCACCGGCUAACUUCGUG
This 492-nucleotide ribosomal RNA is filed under the name uncultured bacterium. RNAcentral describes it as "partial 16S ribosomal RNA". It matches the Rfam family "Bacterial small subunit ribosomal RNA", at positions 29 to 507 of the family's 1533-position model. The record is from RNAcentral.